Molecule: ribosomal RNA, 875 nt
Filed under: uncultured Chloroflexota bacterium
Lineage: Bacteria; Bacillati; Chloroflexota
Description: SSU rRNA
Rfam family: Bacterial small subunit ribosomal RNA
Source: RNAcentral
GNUCAGGACGAACGUUGGCGGCGCGCAUAAUGCAUGCAAGUCGAACGAAGUCCCACCCUUCGGGGUGACGACUUAGUGGCAGACGGCUGAGUAACACGUGAGUGAUCUGCCUUUGGGUGAGGGACAACAGAGGGAAACUUCUGCUAAUACCUCAUACGAUCCAUGAUCUAGGGUCUUGGAUGAAAGGUGCCGGGUAACUGGUUGCCGCCCUUAGAUGAGCUCGCGGCCUAUCAGGUUGUUGGUGGGGUAAUGGCCUACCAAGCCUAAGACGGGUAGCUGGUGUGAGAGCACGACCAGUCAGAGGGGGACUGAGACACGGCCCCCACUCCUACGGGAGGCAGCAGCAGGGAAUCUUCCACAAUGGGCGAAAGCCUGAUGGAGCGACGCCGCGUGAGGGAUGAAGGCUCUAGGGUCGUAAACCUCUUUUCUUAGGGAAGAGCAAGGACGGUACCUAAGGAAUAAGUGACGGCUAACUACGUGCCAGCAGCCGCGGUAAUACGUAGGUCACAAACGUUGUCCGGAAUUAUUGGGCGUAAAGGGUCCGUAGGCGGUUCGGUAAGUCUCCUGUGAAAUCUUCAGGCUCAACUUGAAGAGGUCGGGGGAUACUGCUGAACUUGAGACUGACAGAGGCAAGUGGAAUUCCCGGUGUAGUGGUGAAAUGCGUAGAUAUCGGGAGGAACACCAAUGGCGAAAGCGGCUUGCUGGGUCAGUUCUGACGCUGAGGGACGAAAGCGUGGGUAGCAAACCGGAUUAGAUACCCGGGUAGUCCACGCCGUAAACGAUGAAUGCUAGGUUUUCGGGGUAUCGACCCCCUGGGAGCCGCAGUUAACGCGAUAAGCAUUCCGCCUGGGGACUACGGUCGCAAGACUAAAACU